CUGUCAACGUCAAGACAAAAUUAAACGAAAAUAUUAAAAAUUUAACUGAAAAAUUACUGGCAUGGUACGACCUUACUGCGAUGAAUGUGAAUCCUUGGUGGACCUGGAACCUUUUUAUACCCAUCGCAGGAAUUUGGAUGCCGACGACUCACGAACAUCCUCGGAACCAAUCGUUGAAUAAAAAUGCAAUCGGGAGUUUUUCCUCAUGAAAAAGGUGAAAACAGCGGGACAAAAGCUGGCCACAUGUGUACAAGAAAACCGGCUUUUCAGGAAAACCGCGGAAAACGGAAACAUAAUUUAUAUUAUAUUUUGCCACACCAGACAUGCCCCUUCAUUUAACAGAGCUUCCCAAGUUUUAGGCAUUUGUGGUUCUUUAUUAUCCUAAGAAUAACCAGGGUUGAAAACAAUAAGGCCAGAGACUACAACAUAGUCAACGGAAAACUAGGCAUAACCUAUAAGAAAUCGAAUCUUUCCAGAAUACUAUUAGGCUAGAAACCUCUUUAAGUUGGUUUCUUUAUAUAUAUUUACAAUUAUAAACCCCUCAUGACUCACAGGUAAAGCUUAAAAUGUAUCUUUUUGUUAUGUAAAUUAUAAAUUUAGAGGUUAAAAUGUUAACGGAGCAAAAUUAUCUAAGUUGUCUUAUAAAACACUGCCUGGGCUUACCCUUAUUGCUAUAAAAUCAAGACAAAAUCUUGUAACUUCGUUACAACAUUGAAAGGCCUUUCAAUGUUCUAAGUAAUGCAAUAAUUGAACUCUUUCAAAUCUCUCUUAUAAGAUUUAAAUGUUAAAAGCUAAGAUAAACCCUUUCACUUUAAAACGAAGACUUUGCGAUUGCAAAUAAUUAAUAGAACGAUCAUCAUUCAAGUCUGAACUAGAUGUUUCUUAAGUUAUUUUUCAUUUGCCUGUGGUUAAAUGAGCAUCGUAAAAUUUUAUUGCGUUUAUUCACGAGUAUGUUGAGGUCCGUUAGGCAAGUGCAAGCAGCGUUAAAUUAAAAGUCAUCAGGAUCCUUGGUAAUUGCUCUUAGUUCGGAACUGCUGAGAUAAAGAGCAGCUUAGACAUUUUGAGAUUAGGAACGAGAGUUACUUUGGAAGAUAAUGUAAUAAUAUUUUUGUCUUAAGUUACCAUUGU
Long non-coding RNA from Anthonomus grandis grandis, 1128 nucleotides. RefSeq lists it as uncharacterized. NCBI's taxonomy places the organism in Eukaryota, Metazoa, Arthropoda, Insecta, Coleoptera, Curculionidae. The record is from RefSeq and is a predicted model, not a curated record. The transcript has 3 exons.